GAAUAUAGCUCCUGUUUCAGUCUCUAAACAACCAACGCCCAAUACGACAUCGACUGCUGCCGUAAAAGUACAGGUUAAAAAUAGCAAAACUGGACGUGUUGCCAACACUAAAACGAAUUGCGGCGAAACAGUUGAAGAUGUGCUCACCAAAAAUGCAGGUGCGCCUGUGAACGAUAACAGUAUCAAUGAAGCUGCUUGUGAAAUCAUCAAAUUAACCAAACCUCAACUAGCUUCGCCGUCACGAAGAUCCUCGACAUCGAAAGAGAUCCCUGCUGUGAAAACGGAACCUGCAGAUCCUGAAGACGAAGAUGAUUCCUGUUCCGUGACGGGAUCCAAGGCUUGUUCAAUUUCCCUAGCCAUCGAUAAUUUUGUUAGAAAUUAUUAAUUAUUAGAAAUAAUCGGUAUUCCUUACUAUCCAACGGUUUACAACAAAUUCCACCAAAUAAGUAAAAAAAGGAAGAAUAGAGAUGCAGUUUGGGGGGGUCAAGUUUCGAGGCUAGCGCUCUUCAUAUCAGCUUCAUUAUGAACAACAACUGUUAAUUUUCUGAGAAAAUCAAACACUGAUGAGUAACGUUAAGACCUAUCGUUACGCUUUUUAUUGACUUUCACAUGAACCAGCAAGUGGACACAUCAACAGCCAAUUUCGACACGUAUUGGAAUGAGUUGGCAGAGUGAGAAGUGUUAGAAAGGCAAAUAAAAAGGGCUCAGUUAACCAAUUGAGUUCAAAACAUAA
Daphnia pulicaria is the source of this 733-nucleotide long non-coding RNA. RefSeq lists it as uncharacterized. Lineage: Eukaryota; Metazoa; Arthropoda; Branchiopoda; Diplostraca; Daphniidae. The record is from RefSeq and is a predicted model, not a curated record. The transcript is spliced from 3 exons.